CCGAACAGCGGGAGGUUUCAUAUACCCGCUUUAUAAAUUGUCUCGGCCGCCGCCAUGAAAGAGGGGCGAGCGGUCAUACCCCGUGAAAGAAUUCGUUAUGCGAAGUUGGGCGAGGGGCGUCUCGCCGAGGGUUUAGGUGCCCUCGAACCAAAGCGCACCCCACAUUUCAACCCCAUUAAACUCUGAAUCUGAACUCAAAGGGGGGCAGCGCUUGUAGCGGCCCCCACAACCUUAAACGUU
Molecule: unclassified non-coding RNA, 240 nt
Filed under: Agarum clathratum
Lineage: Eukaryota; Phaeophyceae; Laminariales; Agaraceae
Description: ITS1
Source: RNAcentral